RNAcentral lists this ribosomal RNA (253 nucleotides) under uncultured bacterium. RNAcentral describes it as "partial 16S ribosomal RNA". It matches the Rfam family "Bacterial small subunit ribosomal RNA", at positions 524 to 776 of the family's 1533-position model. The record is from RNAcentral.
UACGUAGGGUGCGAGCGUUAAUCGGAAUUACUGGGCGUAAAGCGUGCGCAGGCGGCUUUGCAAGACAGAUGUGAAAUCCCCGGGCUUAACCUGGGAACUGCAUUUGUGACUGCAUGGCUGGAGUGCGGCAGAGGGGGAUGGAAUUCCGCGUGUAGCAGUGAAAUGCGUAGAUAUCAAGUGGAACACCAGUGGCGAAGGCGAGUCUCUGGACAUUUCCUGACGCUGAGGCACGAAAGCCAGGGGAGCAAACGGG